GGGGAAUAUUGCACAAUGGGCGAAAGCCUGAUGCAGCAACGCCGCGUGAAGGAUGAAGGUUUUCGGAUCGUAAACUUCUAUCAGUAGGGAAGGAACAUGACGGUACCUAACUAAGAAGCCCCGGCUAACUACGUGCCAGCAGCCGCGGUAAUACGUAGGGGGCAAGCGUUAUCCGGAAUCACUGGGUGUAAAGGGUGCGUAGGCGGUACGGCAAGUCAGAUGUGAAAACCCGGGGCUCAACCUCGGGAGUGCAUUUGAAACUGUCGGACUAGAGUGCAGGAGAGGAAAGUGGAAUUCCUAGUGUAGCGGUGAAAUGCGUAGAUAUUAGGAGGAACACCAGUGGCGAAGGCGACUUUCUGGACUGUAACUGACGCUGAGGCACGAAAGCGUGGGGAGCAAAC
Molecule: ribosomal RNA, 401 nt
Filed under: uncultured bacterium
Lineage: Bacteria
Description: bacterial SSU rRNA
Rfam family: Bacterial small subunit ribosomal RNA
Source: RNAcentral